UACGUAGGCAGCAAGCGUUGUUCGGAGUUACUGGGCGUAAAGGGUGUGUAGGCGGUCUACUAAGUCUGGUGUGAAAUCUCCCGGCUCAACUGGGAGGGUGCGCCGGAAACUGGAAGGCUAGAGUGCGGGAUGGGAGAGUGGGAUUCCUGGUGUAGCGGUGAAAUGCGUAGAUAUCAGGAGGAACACCUGUGGUGUAGACGGCUCUCUGGACCGCAACUGACGCUGAGACACGAAAGCGUGGGUAGCAAACAGG
RNAcentral lists this ribosomal RNA (253 nucleotides) under uncultured bacterium. RNAcentral describes it as "partial 16S ribosomal RNA". It matches the Rfam family "Bacterial small subunit ribosomal RNA", at positions 524 to 776 of the family's 1533-position model. The record is from RNAcentral.